CUGGGAGGCUGUGGCUUCGUGGUCACCCUGGGGAGGAAAGUCCCAUCCUGCAUGGCACUGCUCUGUCCUGGCCUGGAGCUGCAGAGAGACAGCCGCCACGUGGGAAGAGGCUGCUGUCUGUGCUCCAGCCACUCCCAUUGUCCCCGUGGGCCCAACCAGGACAGGCUCUUCCUUGGCCCAGGCCAAGGGUAGUGAGAACUGGAGGGAGAAAGGAGGAGGGCAUCUGCGGCCUGUUUCCUGAGCCACCCAGUGGCUGGAACAGGGAGGCGGCUCUCCUCUGGGUGGGGCCACCGGAUAGGAUGGGCUGCUUGUUCCCUGCACAACCCUAGGGGGCACCGUUCCCAUCCCGCAAACCCUUACGCUAUGGCCGCGCCAAGAGGCCAGUCUCUCACCUACUGGCUGGUGCCGAUGGGGAAGAUGUUGGCGACAAAGGAUUUAGAUGGGAGAGAUGUUCCAGAAACGGGCCAAGGGGAGAGCUGGGGGCCUGCUAGCUGCCAAGUGGCAAGGGAUCCAGGAAAAGGCACAGGAUUGCAGAAGUGCUCCCGAGCAAUCUGUGUAUUCUGCAAUUAAGAAGGGGGGCCGAUGGUGAACUUGGCCCGGGUCCCCUAGCCCCUGGCUACUGAAACAGCAGCAGCCGUCACCCGUCACCCAGGAGCUUGUCAGAAAUGCAGAAUCUCCGGCUCCACCACAGAGCUGGGAAUCAGAAUCUUCCUUUUAACAAGAACCUGCGAUGAUUCUGAUUCGUUUGAGAAGCCCUACCCCAGAGUCCUGCUCUCAGACCUGCCAGGCCACUUUCCCUGGGCUCUCUGAACUGGGCGGGGGACAUCGCUUCAGACCUGUGGGCGCAGCAGUGGUCCAAGGUCCGGUCUCUCACAGGUCUCUCUCGGGUUCUGGAGCCCUUGCAAUCCCCCUUCCCGGGCACGACUGAUUGGCCCUGAAGUGGCCCUAGCUCUCAAGUCAGAUUCUUUGGACCCGUCAGGCUCCUGGGCUGUCAGAGGAGAAUGGGUGCACUGGAGGGGCAGGGGCUCAGCUGGGACUGGGAGGCACCAGGCACAUCUCCUCCCCUGUAAACCGGCCUGGCGCUGCAGAAGCAGCCCCAGAUCAGUGACCCUCAGUGUCACUUGCUGUUUGGAGUUUUUGGGUUUCUGGUGUUGGGCACGGCAGGCUCUUUCACUGGUGGGGGACCUGUGUGGCCACACCUGGGGAUAGUCUGAUGGGUACUCUCGGGGGGGGGGGUUGUUGACAAGCCCAUGGGGGGGCCCCCUUCCCCUGAUCAUGCUCCUCACUCCUGACCCUGUUCGGGGAACCUUUAUUCCCCAGGUUUUCAGGGACCUCCUUUGGGGGAGAGGGAGAAACAAAAGAGACAAGUGCGUUGCUCUUCCUUGUAGCCUGUAGACCAGAGAAGGGCGCUGUGUGAGGCUGCACAGGUCUGGGGGUCAGGGUCUGCUCUAGGGUCUUGGUCCUAGCAAGAGGCCUGGUACUAAGGGUCUCCGUCAGCUCCUUCCCCGCAGAGAUGGCCAGGUAAAGCUGUCAUCACUGGUGAGCUGACAGUCUGCCCCCUCGCUCCUCAGCCAUGCCCGGGCCCCGUGGUGGGCUUUUGUGCCCCUGCCUGCCCCGCUCAGGCCAGGCUUGUUCAUCUGGGCCAAGGGAACAGCACAUGGGGCCCACCGGGGGCCUGCCAGGCCCAGGGCUUGCUCUCAUUCUCUUGUGUCACCUUUUACAGAGCCCGGCAGGCAAAUGCCAUCUGGGGAGCUUGGCAAUUACAAUGAAAAAACAACCGAUACUGAGCUCAGUAAACACCGUGACCUCACAGUUGGUCUGUCUCUGGAAUGUGUGGGGAUGGACAUAACCUCAGGGAGUGGAAGGGAGUCUGCGGGCCCCUUUCCGCAGGUCCGCUGGCUCCCCAUGCUGCCCCUCUAGUGGAGCUCACGUACGGAGGGCCUCUGGGCUGAGCCACACAGGCAGGUGGGAAGAUGGGCCGCAAGCCGGGCUUGGGGCAGGUCCCGUGCUUGGCCUCCCGCCCCAUGGCAUCAUCAUCAGUCUCCAAGUAUGUUGAAAUGAGCCUUUGCACAACUCCAAGGAGGGCCCAGCAGUUCCAGGUGACAGUGCCCAGGGCCAUGAGGAGAUGGGAGGAAAGGGGACAGGGUGACAGAAGGGAAGAAUCCCAAAGAGGGUCAAGGGGCCUCCCCAGCUGCUGACUCUCCAUGCUUCCCGAGCAGGGGCUGAGCGUCUCCUUCCAAUCCCCCACCCGUGUAGCUGGACCUCAGUGGCCUUCUACCCAAGGAAUCCGGGCUUCUAGGCUGCCGGAACUGUCCCCAGGCCAUGCCACAGGGAGCCGAGACAAACUUGUCCCCAGAACUUUUUGUUGUGAGCAGUCAAUCGCCUCGGCAUCUGCGGCUGCGGCGCAGAGCAAGGGGUCUUUAAUGAACGCAAAUGACAGCUGAUUAAUCUGCCUCCUCUCUGUGGGGUCUGGCCACGCUCCAUUCCGCCUCCACGGCCCGCGCCAGCAGGGUGGGCUCCAACCUAUUACUGCUGCGCUUCUAGCCCUAAUGGGGAAGAGGGCAAGCCCCCAGCCCUCGCCAGCGCCAGCCCCUAGCCUGCGGGGCUGUCAUGCACGAAGGGUUGGCCCCACAGGAAAGGGCUUGGGCCCUCUGGACUCUCUCCCUGGGUGCUCCCCUGGACGAAGGGGGCAGAUGGCAAGGAAAAAUGUGAGCAGGUGCGCAGUGGGAUUUGGAGAAAAGGGUUACAUUUAGGAGGUAAGUGGGGGCACUGUCUAGACAAUGGUUUUUUAGUUACUCGCUGACUGCGGCCUUAAGAAAGCAGCGGGUUCCCAGAUCAUUCUCACUGUGGGAAAAGGCAGAGAGAGAGAAGGAUGCGCCUAUGGAGAAUUCUUCCUUCUCUGCUAGGUCACCUGCUCUGGCUCCUGGCUGAUGUCCAUGCAGCCCACAUUUAUUGAGGUCCUACUAGGUGCCAAGUGCAGUGCGGGUGUGCGGGUGAUUUACAGUUUGGCAGGAAGACGGAAUGAAGCGAGUAAUUACCGAUGAGAUGCCUGCUAAGGAAAGGACUUAGAGCAGGGAGGGCUUCCUGGAAGAAGCAGAUGGAUUGUCCCCCUGAUAGUGGUGCUUGAUGGGUAGAGGGGAGAGAGAACUGUGCACUGGGUUGGAAAAGCCCCGAUUUCCAGCCCUCCUCAUCCCCAGGCCCCUGUCACCUCCUUGAGUUGCUGGACCCUUCCCUGAAGGGAUGGAGGAGCAAGACAGGGACGGAGUCAGGCCUGGCAUCAUGGAGGCUCCUGACCUUCUCCUGGGCGGGAGCCCUUGCUGGGAAGCAGAAGCAGAGCUCCCUUUGGGGGAGAAACCCCUCAGUUUUUACUGCAGUAAAGAAGGGGCCCCAAGCUCUCCUCUGCCACGGCCUCUAAUGACGGGGUUGGGAUGUAAUGAAUACUAUGUACUCAUCAAGCAGGCUUAUGACCGCCCUCAUUUCACGGACCCCUUUCAUCCUCACCCAUUCCCAAACCAGAAGGGACCAUCCUCAGGGCUGAGGCCCAGGGCCUGGUGGUAGCCACAGACCCCAGCUGUUUGGGAAUGGGGUCCUGUUGGUUCCUGAGCCUGAGGCCCCUCAAAGGCUGCCUUCCCCUCCUCCAUCCCUUAUCUGUUUGAAACAGCUGAGGGAAUUUAGGUCGACCUUAGGAAGUGGGCAGGGGUUGGUGAGGGAGGAAGCAUGUACGCCCUGAUUCUUCAGAGCCCUGUCGACACUUGUAACACGUGGCACGGAGAAAGAGCACUGAGCAUUGAGCACCGGGUGCCAGCGCCCCGCCCCGCCCCCCGCCUGGGUACUGAUAGGAGCUUCCAGCAUCAUCCAACACCUGAGAAGAUCGAGACUCGUGGAGGGAGGGGCUCGGCCUGCUGAAUCACCAGCAACACCUGUGUUUUGCUUGGGAGGUCUCCUGCUCCGGGACUAGCCAAGCCUGACCCUGUUUGGCUUCCUGGAGCUUGGUGAGAUCACAGCCCGGGGUGAUGUGGCUGCAGGCCAGUGUGACCUGCUAUGCAGGGAAUAUUUUUAAAGAGACACUUGCCCCUGUGUUCCCAGGAUCAGCUCCGUGAGACACUCAAGUUGUUCCGAGUCCCCCAGGUCUCCCAAAUUUGAUUGUAGAAAUUGGACAGGGGUACAUGACAUCGCUUGGGAUGGAAUGGGCAAGUGGAAAUAAAUAAUCCGGUCCGCUUGCCAGGGAUAAGCCUCCCCUCCCCGCCUCCCAGGGGAGGGUGGGCCUCAGGGAGGGCCUGGUAAUGGGUGGCAUUGGAG
Molecule: long non-coding RNA, 4299 nt
Organism: Mustela erminea (ermine)
Lineage: Eukaryota; Metazoa; Chordata; Mammalia; Carnivora; Mustelidae
Exons: 3
Source: RefSeq, a predicted model, not a curated record